This 392-nucleotide long non-coding RNA is filed under the name Monodelphis domestica (gray short-tailed opossum). RNAcentral's name for it is "lncRNA (ENSMODG00000032530.2)". The record is from RNAcentral. Lineage: Eukaryota; Metazoa; Chordata; Mammalia; Didelphimorphia; Didelphidae.
ACUAACUGCCCACCUGGGCUGUCCUAAGCCAAGCUAGAGCCAACCAUUGGCACUUGUGAGACACAGGAAGUGAGGUAGGGAACAGCCUCUGGAAUUUGCUCACUUCCUGUGGAGAGAGUUGGUGUUAGGAGCUUGGACAGGGAGGACCCCCCGCAGACAGCUUUCCUUCAGAUCACUCACGUCAUGAACUCCCUGAAAAUCUAUCCAUGGAUCCCCUAGGCAUUAGGGUUCAUGGAUCACAGGAGGAUGGGGAAGAAGAAACCAUCUGAGGCAAUUAUUUCAUACUUGUCAGAUGAACUAGGAUGAAAACUCUUCAGUAAUAUGGUGAAUAAGGAGCACAGUUAGGCCAAUUGAAUUUUAAAUCCUCUCCCUCCUUUUCUCAAACCUUGAGA